Molecule: ribosomal RNA, 115 nt
Filed under: uncultured bacterium
Lineage: Bacteria
Description: partial 16S ribosomal RNA
Rfam family: Bacterial small subunit ribosomal RNA
Source: RNAcentral
CGGUGAAUACGUUCCCGGACCUUGUACACACCGCCCGUCAAGCCAUGGAAGCUGGGUGUACCUAAAGUCGAUAACCGCAAGGAGUCGCCUAGGGUAAAACUAGUAACUGGGGGCU